Molecule: unclassified non-coding RNA, 335 nt
Filed under: soil metagenome
Description: partial contains 5.8S ribosomal RNA, internal transcribed spacer 2, and large subunit ribosomal RNA
Rfam family: 5.8S ribosomal RNA (bases 1-120)
Source: RNAcentral
GAUGAAGAACGUAGUGAAAUGCGAUAAGUAAUGUGAAUUGCAGAAUUCAGUGAAUCAUCGAAUCUUUGAACGCACAUUGCGCCCGCCAGUAUUCUGGCGGGCAUGCCUGUUCGAGCGUCAUUUCAACCAUCAAGCCCCCGGCUUGUGUUGGGGACCUGCGGCUGCCGCAGGCCCUGAAAACCAGUGGCGGGCUCGCUAGUCACUCCGAGCGUAGUAAUACAUCUCGCUCAGGGCGUGCUGCGGGUUCCGGCCGUUAAAAAGCCUUAUUUACCCAGGGUUGACCUCGGAUCAGGUAGGAAGACCCGCUGAACUUAAGCAUAUCAAUAAGCGGAGGA